RNAcentral lists this ribosomal RNA (578 nucleotides) under Acetobacteraceae bacterium CP11. RNAcentral's name for it is "bacterial SSU rRNA". It matches the Rfam family "Bacterial small subunit ribosomal RNA", at positions 339 to 934 of the family's 1533-position model. The record is from RNAcentral. RNAcentral also lists the same sequence under 2 other names. Lineage: Bacteria; Pseudomonadati; Pseudomonadota; Alphaproteobacteria; Acetobacterales; Acetobacteraceae.
CUACGGGAGGCAGCAGUGGGGAAUAUUGGACAAUGGGGGCAACCCUGAUCCAGCAAUGCCGCGUGUGUGAAGAAGGUCUUCGGAUUGUAAAGCACUUUCACUAGGGAAGAUGAUGACGGUACCUAGAGAAGAAGCCCCGGCUAACUUCGUGCCAGCAGCCGCGGUAAUACGAAGGGGGCUAGCGUUGCUCGGAAUGACUGGGCGUAAAGGGCGCGUAGGCUGUUUGUACAGUCAGAUGUGAAAUCCCCGGGCUUAACCUGGGAACUGCAUUUGAUACGUGCAGACUAGAGUCCGAGAGAGGGUUGUGGAAUUCCCAGUGUAGAGGUGAAAUUCGUAGAUAUUGGGAAGAACACCGGUUGCGAAGGCGGCAACCUGGCUCGGAACUGACGCUGAGGCGCGAAAGCGUGGGGAGCGAACAGGAUUAGAUACCCUGGUAGUCCACGCUGUAAACGAUGUGUGCUGGAUGUUGGGUGAUUUUAUCAUUCAGUGUCGGAGCUAACGCGUUAAGCACACCGCCUGGGGAGUACGGCCGCAAGGUUGAAACUCAAAGGAAUUGACNGGGGGCCGCACAAGCGGUG